GAUGAACGCUGGCGGCGUGCCUAAUACAUGCAAGUCGAGCGAACAGACGAGGAGCUUGCUCCUCUGACGUUAGCGGCGGACGGGUGAGUAACACGUGGAUAACCUACCUAUAAGACUGGGAUAACUUCGGGAAACCGGAGCUAAUACCGGAUAACAUGUUGAACCGCAUGGUUCAACAGUGAAAGACGGUUUUGCUGUCACUUAUAGAUGGAUCCGCGUCGCAUUAGCUAGUUGGUAAGGUAACGGCUUACCAAGGCAACGAUGCGUAGCCGACCUGAGAGGGGGGGCGGCCACACGGGAAAGGAGACAAGGCACAGACUCAGACGGGAGGCAGCAGUAGGGAAGCGUCAGAAAUGGGCGAAAGACGGAAGGAGCAACGACGAGGGAGGGAGGAAGGUCGUCGGAUAGGAAAACUCUGUGAUUAGGGAAGAACAAAUGGGCAAGUAACGAUGCACGUCGUGACGGUACCUAAUCAGAAAGCCAAGGCUAACUACGUG
This 497-nucleotide ribosomal RNA is filed under the name uncultured bacterium. RNAcentral describes it as "partial 16S ribosomal RNA". It matches the Rfam family "Bacterial small subunit ribosomal RNA", at positions 28 to 507 of the family's 1533-position model. The record is from RNAcentral.